UACGGAGGGUGCUAGCGUUGUUCGGAAUUACUGGGCGUAAAGGGCGCGUAGGCGGCCCGCUAAGUUAGAUGUGAAAACUCUGGGCUCAACCCAGAGCCUGCAUCUAAUACUGACGGGCUAGAGUUCUGGAGGGGGUAGCGGAAUUCCUGGUGUAGCGGUGAAAUGCGUAGAUAUCAGGAGGAACACCGGUGGCGAAGGCGGCUACCUGGACAGAGUCUGACGCUGAGGCGCGAAAGCUAGGGGAGCAAACAGG
This 253-nucleotide ribosomal RNA is filed under the name uncultured bacterium. RNAcentral describes it as "partial 16S ribosomal RNA". It matches the Rfam family "Bacterial small subunit ribosomal RNA", at positions 524 to 776 of the family's 1533-position model. The record is from RNAcentral.